UGUUGAUGAAGCUGCCAUAGACUCAUGUUUUGGUUUGCACACCUGUUCUCAAUUCCUUAAGGCAAGCCACCUGACUGCAACAGAAAAAGGAGACGAAGACAAGACCAAAAGAUUCAAAGGAACCUGCCUUGCAAUGGCAGCUCCCAGCAAUAACGACUCACGUCUCUGAUGGAGAAACAGAAGAUCCAAGAGGUCACCGCUCACCCACGAGUGCGAAGGAUGAAAUUCAACCCCGGCUCUGCCUGGCUCC
Molecule: long non-coding RNA, 250 nt
Organism: Grammomys surdaster
Lineage: Eukaryota; Metazoa; Chordata; Mammalia; Rodentia; Muridae
Exons: 3
Source: RefSeq, a predicted model, not a curated record